Molecule: ribosomal RNA, 285 nt
Filed under: Triticum aestivum (bread wheat)
Lineage: Eukaryota; Viridiplantae; Streptophyta; Magnoliopsida; Poales; Poaceae
Description: partial small subunit ribosomal RNA
Source: RNAcentral
AUGCCCCUGGACUUCACCAAGCACUUCGUCGUGGUACCAACGGAGUUCAAGCUCAGGAACAACACCGACUGCUCCUGGAAGGUGACGGUCAAGCUGAUGAACGGUAGGGUGACCCUGGAUCAGGGUUGGGCCACCCACGCAGCCGUUCAUCAGAUCAAGAUUGGCUACAUGGUGACGUUCAAGCUUCUCACUCCCGACACCCUCAAGGUCAUCUUCGAUAACGAUGGUAUUGAGGUCGUCAACAAGUGCGGGAAGCACAACGAAGCCUUCGCCGCCAAUGAGUAG